This is a non-coding RNA of Gluconacetobacter sp. SXCC-1, 188 nucleotides long. The record is from Rfam. Lineage: Bacteria; Pseudomonadati; Pseudomonadota; Alphaproteobacteria; Acetobacterales; Acetobacteraceae.
CGGGGGGCGCUAUUGACUGGUCCCCCGUCAUCUGCGGGGGAGAAGCCGGUGGAAACCCGGCACGGUCGCGCCACUGUAUAGCGCAUGCGUGCAUGCGGAAGUCAGACCUCUCCUGCGGAUCAGGCUACCAUUCCGUUACGGGACGCGCUUUCCCGACAGGAGAUCUGAACCAUGUCCCAUCCUUUCAU